UUUAGUGCAGUGAUGAAGCUUGUGGACUAGAGUUUCUGAUCUCUGAGAUUCAGUCUCAGAAUCUGAAGACAAACCCUUGGCUGUCUGAGCACGCUU
Molecule: small nucleolar RNA, 96 nt
Organism: Malania oleifera
Lineage: Eukaryota; Viridiplantae; Streptophyta; Magnoliopsida; Santalales; Ximeniaceae
Product: small nucleolar RNA Z157/R69/R10
Exons: 1
Source: RefSeq, a predicted model, not a curated record